CCUGAGGUGGGCGGGCCCUUCUGCUGUGUGCUCCACUGUUGGAGGCAGAGCGCUUGCCCGUCAUUCUUUGCUGCUUUUCCUGGGCCUCCUGCUCACCGUGAGUUCUCAAAAGCCAGUUAGUCGCUCAAAAGCCACCCGAGUUUGAUUGUCUAUAUCUACCAUCCUAGAAUAUUCUAGACUUAGAAAAAUCAGAGAAUCAGUAUUCUUAGCAUGAGUGGUCAUAGCUCUCCCCCACACCCCUGCUGUACUGAUGACCACAGCAGCAGAAUUGUCACUCUCUAGGUACGUUCCUGCUUACCUUUUUCAGAGGGCUUAUGAGAGAGAUGGAGAAUGGGCUGUAAAUCAGCCGCUGUUGACACUGGUAGUAAUUUGGGGUUAGGAGUUGAUGAACAGAGGGACAUUUCGGGAGUAGUUUGCUUUCCAUUAAAAAAUGUUUUUAUUGUGGAUGGCAGCGGUAUAGAUAGAGGAUUGUUUAAUACAUCAGCUGUGCCCGAUGAAAAUUAUAUGAAUUACGAAGAUAAAACAAAAGGUACCAUUUUAAACCAGCGGGGAGGAGGAAGAUGAGACUAGAAGGGGGCGGGGAUGCUACUGUUCUCUCUUUCAAAGCAGCCAAUUGCUGAUGAUAAACAUGAUCAGAAAGUGGGGCGCUUUUAACAAACACAAGGACUCUGUGGCUGGCUAUGCCUCCUCUGCAUGCACAGGAGGCUGAGUUCAGAUCUCCAGCACCCACAGAAAAAUCCACACAGUGGUACAUAUCUGUGAUCUCAACACCUGAGAACGAGGAGACAGGCGGAUCCAUGGGUUUCAAUGGUCAGCCAGUCUAGCCAAGUUGGCGAGCUCUAGGUUCAGUGAGAGACUGUCUCCAAAAAGAAGGUGGAGCGCAAAUGGAAGAUUACAAACAUUACCCUUUGGACCUAUGUGCACACAGACCUGGCCCAAGGUCAGUUUUGGCUAAGAAUUGAUGGACAUCCAGAAGAAUGAACAUGAGAAUUAAUUCAUAGAAAGGAUAGGGUUAGGUUCUCAUCAGGAAGUGCGAUCAUGAAAAUACAAAAUAAUUCCAACAUAAGCACCCCCACCUCGUUUUUGUUGGAGCACAGGGUUCAAUAACUUAAGGAGCUGUUGGUGAAGAAACAUAGCUCCCAUUUCCCAAGGAAUGACAGCUUAUUCUGGAGUCAAAUGUGAAUGAUCCUGGCCUGCGUGCGAACAUGGAGCGAGGUCACUCCAGCGUCUGUGUUUCUACAUGGAGGAGAUUUCAUGAAGUUAUAUAGAAGCAGAGAAAUUAGAAAUCAAGGUGAAGUGAAAAUGCAUUGCACAGUGAUUCUCCAGGAGUUCUCACUCCCCGAGGAAAAGAAUUGUGUUGCCUCCAGCUUCAAGCUCUGUAAGACUCAGUCCCAUCAGCACAGAAGGACAACACUCCAUUGACUCUCAAGCAUGAUAUCAUAAUGUCCCAAGCUCCUGACGAGAGACAUAUUUUGCAGAAAGUGCACACUAGUGAGUCACAUGUUGCUUUCCAUGUGCUUUUUGCACUAUUCAUUGCUGUUUCUGCCAGCCUAUGAUACACAUUAACCCCCAAACUACACCUUCAAGCUCUCAAGCACCUCUGAAACUACAAAUGCUUUACUGUUAAGUAGAUGAAAUCUUGUUUUCUUUCUUCCUGUUUCUCUCUUUCUGAUUUGCUAUUGUUUAUUGGUUGGUGUGGUGGUGGUGGUGCUUAUUUUUCGAGACAGGGUUUCUCUGUGUAGCCCUGGCUGUCCUGGAACUCACUUUGUAGACCAGGCUGGCCUAGAACUUCAAAGAUCCUCCUGCCUCUACUCUACCUCUGCCUCCUGAGCGCUAGGAUUAAAGGUGUGUGCCACCAAUGCCCAACUAGAAUUUUUUUAAUUUAAUUUUUUAAAAUUUAUGUAUAUAAGUACACUGUAGCUGUCUUCAGACACACCAGGAAAUGGCAUCAGAUCCCAUUACAGAGCCACCAUGUGGUUGCUAGAAAUUGAACUCAGGACCUCUAGAAGAGCAGUCAGUGCUCUCAACUGAGCCAUCUCUCCAGCCCCCUAGAAUCUUAUUUUCAAUGGUAGUAUUGCUCAUGUAAUAGUUUAACCCAUGGAGCUAAUUUUAAUCUUGGUAGUUACUUGUCCUCUCAAGCACAUGGGUUUUCCUGGUCUAUUAUUUAUUUCCAAAUAAAUAUAAGUCCUGAGAUAAAGUCACAAAGUAUUCACUGCCUGAAAUAGCUUCUGUACUCUUAGAUCCAUGAUAGUGCCUUACCCCUAAACCUCAAGGAACACAAAUCAGGAGGAGCUUCAGGCUGUGAGUCUCACCACUAUCUCCAAACUCUAUAGAUGUAGUUGCCAGCAUAAUGGCUUACAUUUACUCAAUGCACUGGCAUAGGCAUCACAUGCUAAGACAGGAGAAAGGACUGGGGCUGUAACAGUCCAAAGCACAUGUGAGGUCCUGAGUUCAACCCACAGAGCAGCCAGAUUGGAAAAAAAAAAAAAAAAAAAAGGAAACCUGAACUCAAAGUUGCCUUGACAAUUCUCUCUCUCACACAUUCAUGUAAACAUGCAUGCAUAUUGCACACACAAACAAAAAUAGGAGACAACGUAGAUCACACAGACUUUUCUUCCAAUUGGGAACUUCAUAUUGUGGGAAGAUGAAGGUUUAAGGAAUGACACAGUUGUGACACAUUAACACACUUGAGUUGUUGCUGUUUGUGGGGCAGCCAUGAACUGAGGCAGGGGCUUGCCUUUCUGCUCCGAACUUUUUCUGGAAGCAGCUGUACAAUGGGAAGGCUGGUUUCAAACAGUCUUCAGUGUUGUUUGUUGUUGUUUUA
Mus musculus (house mouse) is the source of this 2824-nucleotide long non-coding RNA. RefSeq annotates it as predicted gene, 41022. NCBI's taxonomy places the organism in Eukaryota, Metazoa, Chordata, Mammalia, Rodentia, Muridae. The record is from RefSeq and is a predicted model, not a curated record. The transcript has 3 exons.